This is a long non-coding RNA of Sceloporus undulatus (fence lizard), 1065 nucleotides long. RefSeq lists it as uncharacterized. The transcript has 3 exons. The record is from RefSeq and is a predicted model, not a curated record. Lineage: Eukaryota; Metazoa; Chordata; Lepidosauria; Squamata; Phrynosomatidae.
GCAGAUAUUCCUGCCCUUUCUCCUGCAUAUCUCAAUAGUUUUCAGAAGAUCAAGGAACCCUGCUGAAGAGUGUAGAAUACAGGAAAGGAUAAGCAGAAAAAGUCUUUUAGUCAGCAUGCUAUGUCUUUAGAAUAUCCACCUAAAGACUUCUGCACAGCACCUCCUUGAGACUUAUGCAUAAUACGUCAACUGACAGCAUGCACCAGAAUCAUAGAAUUGGAAGAGACCCCAAGGACCAUCCAGUCCAAGCCCUGCCAUACAAGAACACAUGAUCAAAAGACUCCUGACAGAUGGCCAUCCAGCCUCUGUUGAACCACUCUCUGAGGUAGCAUAUUCCACUGUUGAACAGCUCUUCCUAAUGUUUAAAUGGAAUCUCUUUUUCCUGUAGUUUGAAUCCAUUGCUCCAUGUCCUAGUUCUGGAGCAACAGAAAACAAGCUUGCUACAUCCUCUAUAUGACUACCCUUCAGAUUUAAAUAUGGCUAUCAUGUUUCCUCUUAACCUUCUCCAGACUAAGCAUAUGCAGCUCCUCAUAGAACAUGGUUUCCAGAUGUUUCACCAUUUUGGUCAUCCUCUUCUGGACAUUCUCCAACUUUUGUAAUACUACCAAAACAAUCUGGUGCUCUGGAGUUCUGAAACAAAAGUAUCAUAGAUGUACUUAAGAUAUACGAUCUAUAUUCCUGAUCACUACUGGUUUGAUGUACUUUAGAAUUGAAUAUUGUUGCUUUGUGUCUCAGACUGAGAUCAUCUUCUAGAUCCGAAGGGCUGUACAGGCCAGCUUUCCAUCAUAAGGCAUCUGCUCUUGAAAGAGAUGUCAAGUCCAUGUCUGGUUUAAAGGUAAAGAACCAUAAGAAGGGAAUGAAGGAGCCAGACUGUUGACAAUCAAUCACUAGCUCCUGAAUAAACACAUAGGCCCUCACUGGGACAGCUGGGAUGAGAGAGGCCAGGAGAGCUGCACCUUUGAAAUGUAGGCUCUAAGCCCAGGACCAUCACCCACUGGCACAGAAACACCUGAGCCCACCUGGCUGAACCAGCCCAGAGAAUAUUAUCAGCCUAUAGUGGACAUU